UGCAAAAUGAAGGGCAUCUGAAUCUUAGAGACCACUUGACGUGGCUACAGCUGGAGCAGGAUGGAAAAACAGAGGUGGUGCUAGAGGUUUAUGUGAAGAGCUUGCUCUGGGAGGCAGUGUUAUGGAGAAGCUCUCUCAGCUACUGCAGUGUAACCCCUCACUCUUAUGGUAAGAAUGGCGAAACGCUGCAUGGACCUGGUCAAGUACCGCACACCAUCUUACCACCACGUUGCACGGCAGUGGAGCUUCACUACAGGCUGAUCAGCUCACAGAUUGCACUAUGUUUCUAAUAGCUGAACACAUAUUCAGAAGAGGAUAUACUCAGCUCUGUCAUUUCCUCCUGGAUUAAGACUUCUGUUCUUAAAAAGCAUGUGGACAUCUCGCCUACUGUCUUCUAACAGGCAAAGUUCGGUGCUAUUCAGGGAGCAUCUCUGGACACAAGGAACACCUGUACUAGAGUUUAAAGGACUUUCAAUAUCUAAUGACCAAAACAAAUCCUUAAUUUUCAGUUGAGUAUAUUCUGAAAUAUACCUGUAUAUUUCUGAAAGCUGUAUGUAUUUCGGAUUCGUCAGCCUUUGCAUGCUGGUAUAGAAGAGUGCGAUCUCCUCCUCGCAAUUCAUCCCGAAUAGUGGAACUCAUGGGAUAUCAAAGGAGAGUGCAAGAGACUGUUCUACAAACAAAAGGAAAAUGUUGAUCUCCAGCAAAGUUACCAUGUGACUUGUUAUUCGUUUCUGUUCAUCUUCCUCACCUUGUGAAGAGAAAUACCCAGGACCAGGCACGGACUAUCAUGGAGGGAACAGAUGGAGUUACCACCCCAACAUUAUUCAGGACUGUGCUGGAUUCACGAGUGAAGAAGUCUGUUUUCACAUUACAUGAGACUUUGCUUGACUGUUAUUCUGUUAUUCAAUUUCUAGUUCAUGUUAAUAAAUUGUUAUUUGUUGUUUAC
This is a long non-coding RNA of Falco peregrinus (peregrine falcon), 946 nucleotides long. RefSeq lists it as uncharacterized. The record is from RefSeq and is a predicted model, not a curated record. The transcript has 3 exons. Lineage: Eukaryota; Metazoa; Chordata; Aves; Falconiformes; Falconidae.